Molecule: long non-coding RNA, 1360 nt
Filed under: Salvia miltiorrhiza (redroot sage)
Lineage: Eukaryota; Viridiplantae; Streptophyta; Magnoliopsida; Lamiales; Lamiaceae
Description: long non-coding RNA (SMIL_LNC000585)
Source: RNAcentral
UGAAGAACAUGCACUAGUUCUCAAAUCUAGGUACUUUUGGAUAAGCUAAAUACAUUUAUAUCGACUGUUCAAAAAGUAUUUCUAUAUCCAGUAUCCAUUUGGAGAACUAUAGAAAUUAAAUUAAUCAGCUGUAUUUCAAUAAACUAAAAUGGAAGAACAGAGAACUUCAUGCAUCACAGAUUCACAGGUUGGUAUUAGUAGGGAUUUACCUCGAAUAUAGCAAGCACGAAGACUAAAUAAUUUUCGAAAUAUUAACUCAUAAAAACUUUCUUCACCUGUAAUUAUAAAACUUUAGUUCAUCAACAUGCUUCUUCCACAAACGUAAACGACUAAAUAAUUCCCAUUGACUACUCAAAUUCAUAUCUUGCUGCACAACAAUCAAAGGGAAUGUAAAACACACCAUAUUCUACAUUCAACUUGAUAGAAUCACUAGGAUUUAGGAACAUUAAUGAUCAAAGCAGCAGAUAAACAAUAUCAAUGCUAAUCCAUAGGCACAAUCAAAGAAUAAGUCAAAAGGGUUAAAUUAUUUUGUUUUCUCCAGUUUCAUUUCCCAUCCCCUAUGGUUACAAACACAAUAAUUCAUUGCCUUAUAACCUUAUUUACUUCAAGUUCAUGCUCGUCCAAUCCAUUUAAUCGACAAGGUAACAAAGGAUUCUGGAAGCCAAUUAAAUCACAUUCACUGAAGAGGAAUUAAACUGAAACAGAAGCUGAUAUCAAUAUAGAUAAAAUAAUCAAGCUACAAUAUGAAGUUAGGUGGAAUUAAACGGAAAAACAAAAUGAACUUUCCAGAUGCAACCACAUAAUUGUCCAAAAUGGAUGAGAUAUUGCAGAAAAAACGCACCAAACACCACAGUCAAUCACAUCUUACCGGAAAUGGCGUUCCAUCUCCUUAAUUGCCUUGUAGUAAUUGUAAUGGAUUCGUCCUCCCACGUAGUUCGCGAGUUCAUCCAUUCUAAUCAGGGAACCCUAACUAGUCAUAGAGAAUACAAAAUUUACCUCAUUCGGCUAAGAACAAUAGAUAGAAAGAGAACGAGAGAGAGAGAGAGAGAGAGAUACGGAAUGGUGAACACAUGAAAAAUCAGUACCUCAAAUUGAAAUUGCAGAGAAAUCGCAGAGUUGAGGCUUGGAAGAAGACGAGCUCGCGCCUGGGGCCUCUCAAUAGAGUAAAAUAGCCUGGUGGAUCUCACAGGAGUCAGACGGCAGAGCAGUGGAGUCAGGCGGCGCAGCGGCGGAGCGCCGAAGUCAGGUGGCGAGGCGCCGGAGCGCAGGAGUCAGGAUGCGGCAGAUAAUUUUUUAGUUGAAUUCUGAUUCUAAUUAGGGUAGAUCGGCUUUGAGAUGAUAAUGGGGAGAUUUUAUUUUG